GACGAACGCUGGCGGCGUGCUUAACACAUGCAAGUCGAACGGAAAGGCCCUGCUUUUGUUGGGUGCUCGAGUGGCGAACGGGUGAGUAACACGUGAGUAACCUGCCCUUGACUUUCGGAUAACUUCAGGAAACUGGGGCUAAUAUCGGAUAUGAGCUCCUGCUGCAUGGUGUUGGUUGGAAAAUUGCGGUGGUUGGGGAUGGACUCGCGGCUUCUCCGCUUGUUGGUCUGGUAGUGGCUUACCAAGGCUUUGACGGGUAGCCGGCCUGAGAGGGUGACCGGCGACAUGGGGACUGAGAGACGCACCAGACGGGAAAGGGAGGCAACAGUGGGGAAUAUGACAGAAUGAGGGGAAGCCUGAUGCAGAAACGCCGGGAGCGGGAUGACCGGCUUCGGGUUGUGAACCGCUUUGGCAUGUAACGAAGAGGGAGUGACGGUAAUGGGUAAAGAAGCACCGGCUAACUACGUG
This 468-nucleotide ribosomal RNA is filed under the name uncultured bacterium. RNAcentral describes it as "partial 16S ribosomal RNA". It matches the Rfam family "Bacterial small subunit ribosomal RNA", at positions 28 to 507 of the family's 1533-position model. The record is from RNAcentral.